This is a long non-coding RNA of Xiphias gladius (swordfish), 696 nucleotides long. RefSeq lists it as uncharacterized. The record is from RefSeq and is a predicted model, not a curated record. The transcript has 3 exons. NCBI's taxonomy places the organism in Eukaryota, Metazoa, Chordata, Actinopteri, Istiophoriformes, Xiphiidae.
UUGUGAGUGGCGAUGUGGAGGCAGGAUAACGUCGUUUUGACUCUUACGUGACACUACUGGUAUUUGUGUUGAAGUUGUGGGACUCGUCAAAACCGUUGCUUCACACUUUCUUUUCCUUCUAACGGGAAGAUCUUCACUCUAGAAUUUUUAUUUUGAAACGGCUCAUUCUCCACAAGUGAAAAUCCACUCUGCAUCUUUUCUGCUGCUGCUGUUUCCCAGCCUGAUGAAAAGAAAAGAACAAUAGGUGGCAGUAGCAAGACUGGCAGUUGACCAUCACUAACAGGAAGUGGUUGUAAUGUGAGAAAAACGUGCUUUGUGAGUUUUUAUUCUUUUCUCUGAAUUUCAAAUGUACAUGAAACAACAUUUGUUGCAGUCUGAUUUAGCUUUGGCUCACUUGAACUUGCAGUUGGGCCGUUUCUCAGUUUUAGGAGGUCAAAUAGAUCCACUAGAUGAUGUGAGCUCAGCCUUUGGUGUGGAAAUACCGCAUUGCAUGAUGGGAAAUAUAAGCGCACUGUAUCUAAUAAAAUGUAAAAAUAAUCUUUGUCAGCCGUUGGGUCAAAGUGUUUGGUGUGUAUUGAUUUCCUGCAGAUCCACAGCCCCCUGUCGCCUGUGGUUGUGUCAAUGUGUAGAUUGUCUGCACCAUCGGUCAGCCCGGUUUGUGUGUGAAAGGCUGCCCUGCGUGUGAGCUGUACAACU